CCUACGGGUGGCAGCAGUGAGGAAUAUUGGUCAAUGGACGCAAGUCUGAACCAGCCAUGUCGCGUGCAGGAAGACGGCUCUAUGAGUUGUAAACCGCUUUUGUACGAGGGUAAACGCCUAUACGUGUAUCUGUCUGAAAGUAUCGUACGAAUAAGGAUCGGCUAAUUCCGUGCCAGCAGCCGCGGUAAUACGGAGGAUUCAAGCGUUAUCCGGAUUUAUUGGGUUUAAAGGGUGCGUAGGCGGGCGGAUAAGUUAGAGGUGAAAUCCCGGGGCUCAACUUCGGAAUUGCAGCUGAUACUGUUCGGCUAGAGAGUAGUUGCGGUAGGCGGAAUGUAUGGUGUAGCGGUGAAAUGCUUAGAGAUCAUACAGAACACCGAUUGCGAAGGCAGCUUACCGAGGUACUUCUGACGUUGAGGCACGAAGGCGUGGGGAGCAAACAGGAUUAGAUACCCUAGUAGUC
RNAcentral lists this ribosomal RNA (460 nucleotides) under uncultured bacterium. RNAcentral describes it as "partial 16S ribosomal RNA". It matches the Rfam family "Bacterial small subunit ribosomal RNA", at positions 338 to 795 of the family's 1533-position model. The record is from RNAcentral.